GGAAUUCAGAAUCAAUUUUAUUGACAGAAGUUCUCUGGUCAAGAAACUCAAUAAUCAAUUGCUUAAAUUCUAAGCUAAGGAAACCUUUUAAGAGAAAUUUUUAUUUUAGUAUUGGAGAACAUAAUUAAGAGAGUUAUAUGUCAAAGAUAUUUUCAAUCUUUGAACAGAAAUUAAUAUUUCUCUCCCAGUUAUAUUUUAAACCAUAUAAACU
RNAcentral lists this unclassified non-coding RNA (211 nucleotides) under Hevea brasiliensis (rubber tree). The record is from RNAcentral. Lineage: Eukaryota; Viridiplantae; Streptophyta; Magnoliopsida; Malpighiales; Euphorbiaceae.